This 45-nucleotide non-coding RNA is filed under the name Schistosoma curassoni. Lineage: Eukaryota; Metazoa; Platyhelminthes; Trematoda; Strigeidida; Schistosomatidae. The record is from RNAcentral.
AUCCAGCUGACUAAUCCCAAAUAGGACGAAAUCCGAAUCCUGGAU